AGCUGUUAUGCUGAUGGUCUGAAAUCCUGGUCCCUCGGUUUCCAAAUCUGUGCUUUCUCAGACAUUUAUCGCUGGCACUCUUAAAAACGGAGAAAAGACUUUGGACUGAGCUCCCUAGAAUAUUUUAAUAAAAUUUUCAUUUCCCAUCUGACUGACAGAUAAUGUCCUUGAGUUCUCAUUCAGAACAAGUGACUUUGGGCUAUGUUGACUCCUUCAAUCCUGCCACUUCUCCUUCCUCCAAGAAAGUAUUUGACCCCAGUAAGACAGUUUACCCUUGCCAUUACCUACAGACAUCAGCAAGAAGGGUCACAGGUUUCACUUCCAUUCUGGUGAGUAGAAGUAAGUCGCUUGCAGAGGUGGAAUGCUUCUUCAGCUUGGGAGGAACCGAUCAGGUUGUCAGCACUUGAGCUUUGCAAGUCGGGGACACAGCUGGUGACCAUCAGCCUGCAGGAAGGAAAAAGCAGAAAACAACAACAAACCAAACCACUGAAGAUCAGUGCAAGAAGACAGACCUACACAGGAAAUCUGAGAUGGCUACUGAUCCUGCCAGGCAGGCAUUCUCAGAGCGAGAAGUAUGUAUAUAGAGAGGGACACCUGCAACCCAUGGAGGAAUAACCAAGCCUGUUUUGCAGCAAUAUGCAUUUUCCCAAGUGGUCAGAUCAAGAUCACUCUGUGCAAUGCAGAAGAAAACACAUGCCAUCUGUCUGGUCCUCACUGGAGCUCCUCUUGUCUGCUGAUGACAAACAAGUCUUUGGACAGACCUCUUACAUCCCUCAGGAGCUGUCAGGUAUUUUGAGGCUCUUUGCUUCGGACAUCAGAACAACCUUCCUCAAUUUUGCUGAUGAAAACAGUGCCCUGGGAAGAGUGUCCCUUAUCAUCUGGACAUUUUUUUUUUUAAGUCUUCCUUAUUUUUUGCUUCUCCUGCUUACACUCACAUGUUUUCAUUCGUACUUCCUUCCUACCAAUCUUAGUAUUUCUUGUGAAUUUCUAUAUUGUAAGUAAGCAAAACUCCACUUUUCUGAGAUAAAAACUUUUCCCUACUUAAAACUAGUUUAAGCUUAUGAAAUCAUGUAACACAGUUUUUCAACCUAUGUGACAGAUUCUUGGAUGUCAUCACAGGUAAAUACAAACAGAAGCUACCACAGAGAUAAAGUAAGUGCACGCUAUGGUCAGUGCAUGCAUUGAAUACCAUCAUAAAAACACAGAAAUUAGCAUCCUACAAAAACAUAACUUUCCCAACAGGAAAAAGACUGAUCCAAAUGUUGCAUGAUGACUGUCCAGUAACACUCCUAUUGUUGCUUUCACCUUCCUUUCUCAGUGAUUACAUCCAUUUGUUGGGCCUUGACUUAAAUGAGAUUGGGAAAGGUCUAGGGCCAAGGUCAUGUUAUUCUACACAUUUGAAAAAUGCAUGGCACAGUGUUGCUUUGCUUUUGACAGGUUUCCCAACAAUCGCUGUAAUAAGAGGAAUAAAAUAACAUCAAUAAUAACA
This 1489-nucleotide long non-coding RNA is filed under the name Numida meleagris (helmeted guineafowl). Its description in RNAcentral is "lncRNA (ENSNMEG00000000438.1)". Lineage: Eukaryota; Metazoa; Chordata; Aves; Galliformes; Numididae. The record is from RNAcentral.